GCUAGUAAUCGCGGAUCAGAAUGCCGCGGUGAAUACGUUCCCGGGUCUUGUACACACCGCCCGUCACACCAUGGGAGUCGGAAAUGCCCGAAGUCUGUGACCCAACCUUAGAGAGGGAGCAGCCGAAGGCAGGUCGGAUGACUGGGGUGAAGUCGUAACAAGGUAUC
RNAcentral lists this ribosomal RNA (167 nucleotides) under uncultured bacterium. RNAcentral's name for it is "partial 16S ribosomal RNA". It matches the Rfam family "Bacterial small subunit ribosomal RNA", at positions 1334 to 1500 of the family's 1533-position model. The record is from RNAcentral.